GGCUUUAUAGUGGAAAUAUAAGACGUUAGAUUGCAAAUCUAAAAAUGUAAUUAAAAAUUGCUAAAGCUU
This 69-nucleotide transfer RNA is filed under the name Oedignathus inermis. Its description in RNAcentral is "tRNA-Cys". It matches the Rfam family "tRNA". From Rfam's summary of the family: Transfer RNA (tRNA) molecules are approximately 80 nucleotides in length. Their secondary structure includes four short double-helical elements and three loops (D, anti-codon, and T loops). Lineage: Eukaryota; Metazoa; Arthropoda; Malacostraca; Decapoda; Lithodidae. The record is from RNAcentral. RNAcentral also lists the same sequence under 2 other names.